ACGCUGGCGGCGUGCCUAAUACAUGCAAGUCGAACGGUCUUUUCUAUGGAAGCUUGCUUCCACUGAGAAGAUAGUGGCGAACGGGUGAGUAACACGUGGGUAACCUGCCCAUAAGAGGGGGAUAACAUCCGGAAACGGGUGCUAAUACCGCAUAGUUUUCUUGAUCGCAUGAUCGGGAAAGGAAAGACGGCCUUUGUGCUGUCGCUUAUGGAUGGACCCGCGGCGUAUUAGUUAGUUGGUGAGGUAACGGCUCACCAAGACGAUGAUACGUAGCCGACCUGAGAGGAUGAUCGGCCACAUUGGGACUGAGACACGGCCCAAACUCCUACGGGAGGCAGCAGUAGGGAAUCUUCCGCAAUGGACGAAAGUCUGACGGAGCAACGCCGCGUGAGUGAAGAAAGGUUUUCGGAUCGUAAAACUCUGUUGUCAGAGAAGAACAAGUUGGAGAGUAACUGCUCCAGCCUUGACGGUAUCUGACCAGAAAGCCACGGCUAACUACGUGCCAGCAGCGGC
RNAcentral lists this ribosomal RNA (513 nucleotides) under uncultured bacterium. Its description in RNAcentral is "bacterial SSU rRNA". It matches the Rfam family "Bacterial small subunit ribosomal RNA", at positions 33 to 518 of the family's 1533-position model. The record is from RNAcentral.